RNAcentral lists this ribosomal RNA (458 nucleotides) under uncultured bacterium. RNAcentral describes it as "partial 16S ribosomal RNA". It matches the Rfam family "Bacterial small subunit ribosomal RNA", at positions 338 to 795 of the family's 1533-position model. The record is from RNAcentral.
CCUACGGGAGGCAGCAGUGAGAAAUAUUGGUCAAUGGGCGAGAGCCUGAACCAGCCAAGUCGCGUGAGGGAGUACUGCCCUAUGGGUUGUAAACCUCUUUUGUCGGGGAGCAAAAGCCGGACGUGUCCGGCUGUGAGAGUACCCGAAGAAAAAGCAUCGGCUAGCUCCGUGCCAGCAGCCGCGGUAAUACGGAGGAUGCGAGCGUUAUCCGGAUUUAUUGGGGUUAAAGGGUGCGCAGGCGGAUUUUUAAGUCAGCGGUCAAAUCGUGGGGCUCAACCCCAUCCAGCCAUUGAAACUGGGGAUCUAGAGUGUGCGAGAGGUAUGCGGAAUGCGUGGUGUAGCGGUGAAAUGCAUAGAUAUCACGCAGAACCCCGAUUGCGAAGGCAGCAUACCGGUGCACAACUGACGCUCAGGCACGAAAGCGUGGGUAUCGAACAGGAUUAGAUACCCCUGUAGUC